ACGUUGGCGAUGCGUCUUAAGCAUGCAAGUCGAGCGGGCUUAUUCGGGCAACUGGAUAAGUUAGCGGCGAACUGGUGAGUAACACGUAGGUAAUCUGCCGUGAAGCGGGGGAUAACCCAUGGAAACAUGGACUAAUACCGCAUAUACUCUUGCUACAUAAGUAGAGUAGAGGAAAGUUUUUUCGCUUCACGAUGAGCCUGCGGCCUAUUAGCCUGUUGGUAGGGUAAUGGCCUACCAAAGCUACGAUAGGUAGCCGACCUGAGAGGGUGACCGGCCACAUUGGGACUGAGAUACGGCCC
RNAcentral lists this ribosomal RNA (299 nucleotides) under Brachyspira pilosicoli. RNAcentral's name for it is "partial 16S ribosomal RNA". It matches the Rfam family "Bacterial small subunit ribosomal RNA", at positions 33 to 332 of the family's 1533-position model. Lineage: Bacteria; Pseudomonadati; Spirochaetota; Spirochaetia; Brachyspirales; Brachyspiraceae. The record is from RNAcentral.